This 306-nucleotide unclassified non-coding RNA is filed under the name Zea mays. RNAcentral describes it as "misc RNA Zm00001eb048570". The record is from RNAcentral. Lineage: Eukaryota; Viridiplantae; Streptophyta; Magnoliopsida; Poales; Poaceae.
CCGCGUUGGUGAGGAACCACUUGUGCGGGUUCAUGCUCACCGAGUCGGCGAGCUCGGCGCCAUCGAGAGUGCCCUGGAACUCAGGGCAGAUGGCCGCGCUGCCGGCGUACGCCGCGUCCACGUGCAGCCACAUGCCGUGUCGCCGCGCCUCCUCUCCGAGCUCGCGCACGGGGUCGACCGCGCCGAGCCCCGUGGUGCCCACCGUGGCGCAGAGGUACAGCGGCACCAGGCCGCGUGCGACGUCGCGAUCGACCGCGGCGCGGACGUCGUCGGCCGUCAGGCCGUACCCGGAGGCCGACGUCGUCC